GACGAACGCUGGCGGCGUGCCUAAUACAUGCAAGUAGAACGCUGAAGAGAGGAGCUUGCUCUUCUUGGAUGAGUUGCGAACGGGUGAGUAACGCGUAGGUAACCUGCCUUGUAGCGGGGGAUAACUAUUGGAAACGAUAGCUAAUACCGCAUAACAAUGGAUGACACAUGUCAUUUAUUUGAAAGGGGCAAUUGCUCCACUACAAGAUGGACCUGCGUUGUAUUAGCUAGUAGGUGAGGUAACGGCUCACCUAGGCGACGAUACAUAGCCGACCUGAGAGGGUGAUCGGCCACACUGGGACUGAGACACGGCCCAGACUCCUACGGGAGGCAGCAGUAGGGAAUCUUCGGCAAUGGACGGAAGUCUGACCGAGCAACGCCGCGUGAGUGAAGAAGGUUUUCGGAUCGUAAAGCUCUGUUGUAAGAGAAGAACGAGUGUGAGAGUGGAAAGUUCACACUGUGACGGUAUCUUACCAGAAAGGGACGGCUAC
This 490-nucleotide ribosomal RNA is filed under the name Streptococcus vestibularis. Its description in RNAcentral is "bacterial SSU rRNA". It matches the Rfam family "Bacterial small subunit ribosomal RNA", at positions 28 to 500 of the family's 1533-position model. The record is from RNAcentral. Lineage: Bacteria; Bacillati; Bacillota; Bacilli; Lactobacillales; Streptococcaceae.